This 243-nucleotide long non-coding RNA is filed under the name Setaria viridis. Its description in RNAcentral is "long non-coding RNA (SVIR_LNC000249)". Lineage: Eukaryota; Viridiplantae; Streptophyta; Magnoliopsida; Poales; Poaceae. The record is from RNAcentral.
UUGAAGUUGGACUUGGGCUAAGAUUUUGACCAAACGACACUCUUCAAGUGCAUUCGAUUAUCCAGUUUUCCGAAUUUGUUGUCAUUUUUAUAUCUUUUAUUUUAGUGUUUUGCAAAAAUAUAUAUCCCCAAAAUGCAAAAUUAUACCUUUUAUAGCCAUUUGAAAUAGCCAUAGCCGCUUGAAUUGAUGGAAUGUCUCUUGCACCCACCUUAUCGCCAAUUUAAUUGGCAGAAUGUCCCGUCU